CGUCCUCUGCCGUGUUUGACGGUGUGCGCAAACAUACGCCUUGUCCCUUAAGAACGACAUUGGGACCGCAGCGGAAACCCGGCGUGCAAGUCCGCCUUGUUGCGGAAAGCCCAACGGUUUCCAAGCGUUACCACUUGAACCCUGGGUUCAAGGUCGUUUCGUACGCAUCGACAUGGCGGAGGAUGC
This 186-nucleotide non-coding RNA is filed under the name Lysobacter sp. RNAcentral's name for it is "6S RNA". It matches the Rfam family "6S / SsrS RNA". From Rfam's summary of the family: E. coli 6S RNA was the first non coding RNA to be sequenced, but its function was unknown until recently. It consists of 184 nucleotides that fold into an extended hairpin structure with a large single-stranded internal bulge. The record is from RNAcentral. Lineage: Bacteria; Pseudomonadati; Pseudomonadota; Gammaproteobacteria; Lysobacterales; Lysobacteraceae.